AACGAACGCUGGCGGCAUGCCUAACACAUGCAAGUCGAACGGGACCUCCCGGUCUAUUUGCGCAGGUGUGGGUGACGCGUGGGAAGCUGCCCUUAAGUUCGGUAUACCUCCCCUUAAGGGGUGCUAAUACCGGAUAAUCUCUUCGGACAAAGGAUUUAUCGCUUUUGGAUGGGGCCGGGUUGGAUUAGGUAGUUGGUAGGGUAAAAGCCUACCAAGGGGACGAUCCAGGGGUGGUCGGAGAGGAGGAUCAGCCACACUGGGACUGAGACACGGCCCAGACUACUACGGGAGGCAGCAGUGGGGAAUAUUGGACAAUGGGCGAAAGCCUGAUCCAGCAAUGCCGCGUGAGAGAUGAAGGCCUUAGGGUUGUAAAGCUCCUUUGGCCGGGAUGAUAAUGACAGUACCGGGAGAAUAAGCUCCGGCUAACUACGUG
RNAcentral lists this ribosomal RNA (433 nucleotides) under uncultured bacterium. Its description in RNAcentral is "partial 16S ribosomal RNA". It matches the Rfam family "Bacterial small subunit ribosomal RNA", at positions 29 to 507 of the family's 1533-position model. The record is from RNAcentral.